ACUAUUUCUUCCUUCACUUUUGGCCUGUCUUCUUCCCUGUUCCCCAGUUCCUUCUUAUCUCUACGCAAGCCAAUAAUCUACGUCUCCUAACUCUUAAUGCUUUCAGAUGACUGCCAACGACGAGACAGUCUUCAAACACAUCAUCGACAAGGCAUAUGAAUCGUUUGCAUCAUACAAAUACUACAGAAAAACAUUCUUUGAUACGUUUGUUGGCAUCAGGAAGAACGGCAAGACCAAGGAUGGCCGAAGGACCAAACUGUCUCAGAAAACCGUUCAGUUCUUGACUUUUCAGCCAAGCAGAAAUCCUUGCUGAUGUUACCUUCUUUUACCUUGAAAACCGGGUCCAUUUUUGCUUGAAGACUCUCCUCACACUCAUCAUAUGAUGUUYGUUUUAUUGGAUGAUUUGACGACGAGACAAGGUAGGAUUGCCAAUAUAAUUAUCUGAUUUAUCAGCACCUGAGUCUCUCGUUGUUCAAUAGUCCAGUAAGAAAAAAAGCUAGUAGUUAGUAAAUUAUAGAUUUCUGGCGCACUCGACUGUACCUUGGUAAAGGUCGUCCCUUGCAGCACGUCGGAAUGCAGCCCUCCGUAAGAAUUCUUUUACGAACCACGAAAAAAGUAAAAUUUUGCAUUAAAAAAAAAAAAACUACGGAGUUUUCUUAGCUACUUCUACACUUGAGACCAUAUCACGUCCUGUGUAGAUCCGGCGUUUAAGUGGUUUAGAAUGAGAAGACAUGACCUUCAAGCUGUAAUAGUCUAUAAAGGUUUUGCAUCACGUACCUACGCCCAUAGCACAGCUUGGGCUGCUCGUGGUUAGAUGGCAGUUGGGCUACCCGUGGUUAGAUGGCAGAACAAUAAAAUCCCUUUACUCUUGGGAAUCGAAUUCUUUCUCGUGUAAAACGAUUGUAUUGUUCCUGCCAUCUAACAUGGCUGCCGUCACGUGAUCAAGUAGUGCAAAACCGCUAUAGAGCUAAUCCACUCUUUUCUAUUUCAGACCACGUGUCAUUCCCUAGAGUAUCAUUUCUUUUUUUAACGGUUGCGCAUGAAUAUGGAUGCAAAUCUUGCAAAGAAUCUUAUUCUCAAGGGAAUGACACGUGUUCUGUAAUGAGGAAACAUCAUGACUAGGUAGAUAGGUCCAUCCCAUUAAGUUUCAUUUCAGUCUAACUUGUGUGCUGUAAAUAAAAUAUUAGACAAGUCCAGCAAUAUAAAUAUUCGUAAGUUAUGCUAGACCAGAAUGCUAGACCAAAACGCACCCUGGUAGAAAACUGACCUAUGAGAGUACCUGGAUGUAAAUAUAAAGUUUGAAAAAUAAAGUUUUAGAUUUUGCA
Long non-coding RNA from Actinia tenebrosa (Australian red waratah sea anemone), 1325 nucleotides. NCBI's taxonomy places the organism in Eukaryota, Metazoa, Cnidaria, Anthozoa, Actiniaria, Actiniidae. The record is from RefSeq and is a predicted model, not a curated record.